Molecule: ribosomal RNA, 371 nt
Filed under: uncultured bacterium
Lineage: Bacteria
Description: bacterial SSU rRNA
Rfam family: Bacterial small subunit ribosomal RNA
Source: RNAcentral
GUAGGUGGCAAGCGUUGUCCGGAUUUAUUGGGCGUAAAGCGAACGCAGGCGGGAAGAUAAGUCAGCUGUGAAAGCCCUCGGCUCAACCGAGGAAGAGCAGCUGAAACUAUAUUUCUUGAGUGCAGAAGAGGAGAGUGGAACUCCAUGUGUAGCGGUGGAAUGCGUAGAUAUAUGGAAGAACACCAGAGGCGAAGGCGGCUCUCUGGUCUGUAACUGACGCUGAGGUUCGAAAGCAUGGGUAGCGAACAGGAUUAGAUACCCUGGUAGUCCAUGCCGUAAACGAUGAGUGCUAAGUGUUGGGAGGUUUCCACCUUUCAGUGCUGCAGCUAACGCAUUAAGCACUCCGCCUGGGGAGUACGACCGCAAGGUUA